CGGUGGAAAAGCUAGGGUUGGGGGUUUGUGAGGUUUAAAUCGGUGAAAAGAAAGAUUUCACCGAUUGAAUCGGUGGAAUGUAAAGGAUCUCGGUUUUUAAUCGGUCAAAGUGAAGAUAGGGUUCGGUGAGGGUGAGAUUUCGAGAGGAAAUGUAAGGAAGAUGACGAAUAUGUGAAAAUCAAGGUGCUUAUAGUGGCAAACUCUCUCGAGAGUGUUCAUGGACACAGAUCUGUGGAGGAUUUGGUCGAGGGAAUAAGCAGUGGUGGUGGAUGAAGCUCUUCGGAGUGAAAACCUAAGAAGAGCGUUGCGACUCGAGAAAGGAAUGAGAUGAGGCUUUGUGCGAUUGAAAUGAAGGCGUGACUGAUGUGGAAAUUUGUGGCUGACGUGUGCAAAGGCAGAUAUGAUCCAACGAAUGAUAGGCGGAUCUGACGCGUGUGCGAGGAUGUGGAGGAGUGAGAAUCUGAAUUUUUAAAAAUGAAUAAUGGUAAGUGAAAGUGGAAGGUGGUUGAGGGAAUCCCUUGGAUUCUUCAGCCUUGACUUUCAAGGGGACUAAAUCUGGAGUUCUCUCAACAGAACUUUAAUCCAAUAUCUCAAAAGUGAAUACAAGAAGUGUCGGCAUGGCUAUUUAUAGGACUAAAAGUCCCACAUGCCUAACACAAUACAAAGUACAUUAAAGAAAUGCUAGACUAAAGAAAUUGGGUCUUGACCCUGCGUAUCAAGUUGGCACCCAAGGAGAUUGGUAAACGUACUUAUUUGCCUCCUGCAUGUUACACAAUGUCCUGACAAGAGAAGAU
Molecule: long non-coding RNA, 794 nt
Filed under: Vigna radiata
Lineage: Eukaryota; Viridiplantae; Streptophyta; Magnoliopsida; Fabales; Fabaceae
Description: long non-coding RNA (VRAD_LNC002971)
Source: RNAcentral